CACCUACGGGAGGCAGCAGUGGGGGAUAUUGCACAAUGGGGGGAACCCUGAUGCAGCGACGCCGCGUGGGUGAAGAAGCGCCUCGGCGCGUAAAGCCCUGUCAGCAGGGAAGAAAAUGACGGUACCUGAAGAAGAAGCCCCGGCUAACUACGUGCCAGCAGCCGCGGUAAUACGUAGGGGGCAAGCGUUAUCCGGAUUUACUGGGUGUAAAGGGGGCGCAGACGGCGAUGCAAGCCAGGAGUGAAAGCCCGCGGCCCAACUGCGGGACUGCUUUGGAAACUGCCCGGCUAGAGUGCUGGAGAGGG
This 305-nucleotide ribosomal RNA is filed under the name uncultured bacterium. Its description in RNAcentral is "bacterial SSU rRNA". It matches the Rfam family "Bacterial small subunit ribosomal RNA", at positions 335 to 658 of the family's 1533-position model. The record is from RNAcentral.